RNAcentral lists this ribosomal RNA (302 nucleotides) under uncultured Glomeraceae. Its description in RNAcentral is "SSU rRNA". It matches the Rfam family "Eukaryotic small subunit ribosomal RNA", at positions 459 to 764 of the family's 1831-position model. The record is from RNAcentral. Lineage: Eukaryota; Fungi; Glomeromycota; Glomeromycetes; Glomerales; Glomeraceae.
GGGAGGUAGUGACAAUAAAUAACAAUACGGGGUUCUUUCGGAUUUCGUAAUUGGAAUGAGUACAAUUUAAAUCUCUUAACGAGGAACAAUUGGAGGGCAAGUCUGGUGCCAGCAGCCGCGGUAAUUCCAGCUCCAAUAGCGUAUAUUAAAGUUGCUGCAGUUAAAAAGCUCGUAGUUGAAUUUCGGGACCAAUAUGUCGGUCGUGCCUCGGUACGUACUGGCAUCGUUGGUUUCUCCCUUCUGACGAACCAUGAUGUCAUUUAUUUGGUGUCGUGGGGAAUCAGGACUGUUACUUUGAAAAA